Molecule: microRNA precursor, 83 nt
Filed under: Bombyx mori (domestic silkworm)
Lineage: Eukaryota; Metazoa; Arthropoda; Insecta; Lepidoptera; Bombycidae
Description: mir-2807 microRNA precursor family
Rfam family: mir-2807 microRNA precursor family
Source: Rfam by way of RNAcentral
UUAACUCUAAUUUGUAUUGUAGGAACAGCUUCCCUUAGUUUGCCGCUAGGGGCGCUGCUCCAACUCCAUACAAAUUUGAGUUA